CUUCGAUAGCUCAGUUGGUAGAGCGGUGGACUGUAGACGGAAAUUGGCUUGCAUCAACAGUAAUAACGUUGGGGCGGCGAUCUGGAAUCUUUCCGAUCGCUGCAGUGCAGACAUCCAUAGGUCGCUGGUUCAAAUCCGGCUCGAAGGAG
Molecule: transfer RNA, 149 nt
Filed under: Ceratitis capitata (Mediterranean fruit fly)
Lineage: Eukaryota; Metazoa; Arthropoda; Insecta; Diptera; Tephritidae
Description: tRNA-Tyr
Rfam family: tRNA
About the family: Transfer RNA (tRNA) molecules are approximately 80 nucleotides in length. Their secondary structure includes four short double-helical elements and three loops (D, anti-codon, and T loops).
Source: RNAcentral